This 73-nucleotide transfer RNA is filed under the name Camelus bactrianus (Bactrian camel). It matches the Rfam family "tRNA". From Rfam's summary of the family: Transfer RNA (tRNA) molecules are approximately 80 nucleotides in length. Their secondary structure includes four short double-helical elements and three loops (D, anti-codon, and T loops). Further hydrogen bonds mediate the characteristic L-shaped molecular structure. tRNAs have two regions of fundamental functional importance: the anti-codon, which is responsible for specific mRNA codon recognition, and the 3' end, to which the tRNAs corresponding amino acid is attached (by aminoacyl-tRNA synthetases). tRNAs cope with the degeneracy of the genetic code in two manners: having more than one tRNA (with a specific anti-codon) for a particular amino acid; and 'wobble' base-pairing, i.e. permitting non-standard base-pairing at the 3rd anti-codon position. The record is from Rfam by way of RNAcentral. Lineage: Eukaryota; Metazoa; Chordata; Mammalia; Artiodactyla; Camelidae. RNAcentral also lists the same sequence under 2 other names.
AGGGAUAUAGCUUAACGGUAGAGCUGUGUGCUUAACGUGCACUAGGUCCUGGGUUCAAUCCCCGGCACCUCCA